AGGAGGCUUGAAAAAGUUUGGACGUUGUACAGUACUUCCAUAACUGGUUAUAACCUCCAAGACUAAAUCUCGAUCACUGUAUUCAUACCUGAAACUUCAUCUCAGACUAUGUGCUAUGGUUGAGGACAUUUG
This is a small nucleolar RNA of Ictalurus furcatus (blue catfish), 132 nucleotides long. RefSeq annotates it as small nucleolar RNA SNORA47. The transcript has a single exon. The record is from RefSeq and is a predicted model, not a curated record. Lineage: Eukaryota; Metazoa; Chordata; Actinopteri; Siluriformes; Ictaluridae.